GUGUAAGGGAACUUGUUUCAGCAAGGGAGAACUUGUUUCAGAAAGUCUUGUUUCAGCCAAGGUAGAACUUGGUCUUCAGAGACAGAGACCACUGAAAUCAAAGAGAACUCAAGCACGAAAUGGAGAUGGCUUCAAGGAACACCCGAUCAUGAACCACGCCUAGCUGACGCACCCAUUUCAAGGCCCCUCCUGUUGUCGGCAACAGAUAGUUGUUCAGCUUUGAAGUUCCGGCGCCGAGAUUCACAAGUAUUUAAAACCCAUAUUGAUUUCUUUUUUAUAAAUAUUAAAGUCAUAAUUUUUUUUAUUGAUUAUAUGUUCUGGUUUUGUUCUAGGAACACCUGAAAUUUGUAUGUGUAAUUUUUGUAAGAGGAUUUUUUUUUAAUGAGAAUUUUUGUAAGAAGUUGUUUGGUGGUA
This is a long non-coding RNA of Quercus lobata, 414 nucleotides long. RefSeq lists it as uncharacterized. The transcript is spliced from 2 exons. Lineage: Eukaryota; Viridiplantae; Streptophyta; Magnoliopsida; Fagales; Fagaceae. The record is from RefSeq and is a predicted model, not a curated record.